This 346-nucleotide long non-coding RNA is filed under the name Musa acuminata (dwarf banana). RNAcentral describes it as "long non-coding RNA (MACU_LNC009341)". The record is from RNAcentral. Lineage: Eukaryota; Viridiplantae; Streptophyta; Magnoliopsida; Zingiberales; Musaceae.
AGAUUACUGAAAAAAUUUCAGAUUUAUGGCUUUGUAUCAAAAGGAAAGAACAGUUUGGUACUAAGCUGAAAUCUUUUGAAUUAUGAAGAAUUAAAAGGAAAACAGAGAUUAGGAAUUCUGUAGGAAGAGGUUAGAACACUUGCCUUAGAUGAGUUUGAUUCCCAAAUAUAGGGAGUUGAUGCAAAACCUCAAACAAAGUUUCCUCUUCUUCUUCUCCUUCUUCUUCUUCUUCUCUUCUUCUUCUUCUCCUCAAACUAACGUUGGCUGAAAAGUUUCUUUUUAAUGGUGCCUUAAAUUACUUAGGUUUGGCUCAUGCUAAAAUAGUGAGGUGGCAAGCAUGCAUGGG